This is a vault RNA of 93 nucleotides. Its record names the gene Vault. It matches the Rfam family "Vault RNA". From Rfam's summary of the family: This family of RNAs are found as part of the enigmatic vault ribonucleoprotein complex. The complex consists of a major vault protein (MVP), two minor vault proteins (VPARP and TEP1), and several small untranslated RNA molecules. The record is from Ensembl.
GUGCUGGUUUAGCUCAGUGGGUUACUCCCUCAUAAAUGUUAUUUCCUGGUCUGCAGGCCGGAGGUACGACCCCGGGCGCUGUCCAGUGCUUUU